AGAGUCCUAUGAUGUUCGUCAUCACUUCAUGUUUUGAGCCAACACUUUUACUUAGGGAGAUCUUAGUUCUUUGGUAAUUGCUAUGCCCUUUCACUAGGGAAAGCAGGAUCCUUAGGCAGGUCACCCACCUGCAAUGGCAGGUUCAAAGCGAAAAGUACGAAACGGCAUUCGCGGGACUCUU
RNAcentral lists this non-coding RNA (181 nucleotides) under Paenalkalicoccus suaedae. RNAcentral describes it as "6S / SsrS RNA". It matches the Rfam family "6S / SsrS RNA". From Rfam's summary of the family: E. coli 6S RNA was the first non coding RNA to be sequenced, but its function was unknown until recently. The record is from Rfam by way of RNAcentral. Lineage: Bacteria; Bacillati; Bacillota; Bacilli; Caryophanales; Bacillaceae.